CCCUUAGAUGUUCUGGGCCGCACGCGCGCUACACUGAUGAAUUCAACGAGCUCCUAACCUAGGCCGAAGGAUCCGGGUAAUCUUUGAAAUUUCAUCGUGAUGGGGAUAGAUUAUUGCAAUUAUUAAUCUUCAACGAGGAAUUCCUAGUAAGCGCGAGUCAUCAGCUCGCGUUGAUUACGUCCCUGCCCUUUGUACACACCGCCCGUCGCUCCUACCGAUUGAAUGGUCCGGUGAAAUGUUCGGACCGCGACAAGGCGGACGGUUCGCUGUCAGCUUUGCUGCGGGAAGUUCAUUAAACCUUAUCAUUUAGAGGAAGGAGAAGUCGUAACA
Molecule: ribosomal RNA, 330 nt
Filed under: uncultured eukaryote
Lineage: Eukaryota
Description: partial 18S ribosomal RNA
Rfam family: Eukaryotic small subunit ribosomal RNA
Source: RNAcentral